GAUGAACGCUGGCGGCGUGCUUAACACAUGCAAGUCGAACGGUGAAGGCGGAGCUUGCUCUGCUUGAUCAGUGGCGAACGGGUGAGUAACACGUGAGCAAUCUGCCCCUGACACUGUGAUAAGCGCUGGAAACGGCGUCUAAUACUGGAUACGAGCUGCGAAGGCAUCUUCAGCAGCUGGAAAGAAUUUCGGUCAUGGAUGAUCUCGCGGCCUAUCAGCUUGUUGGUGAGGUAAUGGCGCACCAAGGCGUCGAAGGGUAGCCGGCCUGAGCGGGUGAACGGCCACACGGGGACUGAGGGACGGACCAGACUCCUACGGGAGGCAGCGGUGGGGAAUAUUGCACAAUGGGCGAAAGCCUGAUGUAGCAACGCCGGGUGAGUGAAGACGGCUUUCGGGUUGUAAACAUACUUGAGCAGGGAAGUAGCGAAAGUGACGGUACCUGAAGAAAAAGCGCCGGCUAACUACGUG
This 468-nucleotide ribosomal RNA is filed under the name uncultured bacterium. RNAcentral's name for it is "partial 16S ribosomal RNA". It matches the Rfam family "Bacterial small subunit ribosomal RNA", at positions 28 to 507 of the family's 1533-position model. The record is from RNAcentral.